Molecule: ribosomal RNA, 441 nt
Filed under: uncultured bacterium
Lineage: Bacteria
Description: bacterial SSU rRNA
Rfam family: Bacterial small subunit ribosomal RNA
Source: RNAcentral
UCGAGGGGCAGCAUAAAUUACUUGUAAUUUGAUGGCGACCGGCGAACGGGUGCGUAACGCGUAUGCAACUUACCUUUUACUAGAGAAUAGCCAAGAGAAAUUUUGAUUAAUGCUCUAUGUUCUUAUUAACUCGCAUGAGUUAAUAAGCAAAGCUCCGGCGGUAAAAGAUGGGCAUGCGUCCUAUUAGCUUGUAGGUGAGGUAACGGCUCACCUAAGCUCCGAUAGGUAGGGGUCCUGAGAGGGAGAUCCCCCACACUGGUACUGAGACACGGACCAGACUUCUACGGAAGGCAGCAGUGAGGAAUAUUGGACAAUGGACGAAAGUCUGAUCCAGCCAUGCCGCGUGCAGGAUGAAUGCCCUAUGGGUUGUAAACUGCUUUUAUAUAGGAAGAAAACCCUCCACGUGUGGAGGCUUGACGGUACUAUAAGAAUAAGGAUCGG